CAAUAAGUGGUGUCCCGCCGCUCUUUCGGCCUUAUCGCCAUCUUUUCUGGUGGGUGACUUUCCUAGCCGUUUUUGGUUUUCCCGUACAAUCCAUUAACAUCUCAUCUCCGCACUUAACCAUCAUUACAGCAAACUAACUGUAGCAUUUUCCCCUUUACUCGUAGAAACUUCUGCGCCAUGAGAGCCAAGUGGAGGAAGAAGCGAAUGCGCAGGCUUAAGCGAAAAAGAAGAAAGAUGAGGCAGCGGUCCAAGUAAACCGAUAAUUUGUGCACCAUGGAAGCCACAGGAGCAGAAAUAAGGAAAACCAGAGGCCAGUGGUGAUGGUACACAUUACCGGACUGAAUGCCUACUGUCUCAGUGGAUCUGGAACAUUGACCAUCAUCCGAGGCAGCGACCACCUUGGCAAGACUCACGUUGUCCAUACUAAAACAG
Manis pentadactyla (Chinese pangolin) is the source of this 432-nucleotide long non-coding RNA. RefSeq lists it as uncharacterized. NCBI's taxonomy places the organism in Eukaryota, Metazoa, Chordata, Mammalia, Pholidota, Manidae. The record is from RefSeq and is a predicted model, not a curated record. The transcript is spliced from 3 exons.